AUAACUUGCUGAAACUUGGCAAGAAAGGAAAUCAUAUUAAGCUUUCUGUCCCUCCGUAUUUGGUAAGUAAUUUUAUAAUCUAUUAGAACUACUGCUGCUGGCAGUCUUCCCUGGCACAUUUUCCUAUGCUAUAGCCACACCUUGUUAAAUGUCAGUACUUUUUUCCCCCCAGCUAUCUGGUAAUUUUACCAUUAUGAUUUACUACUGGAUAGCACAAAUGUAAUUCCUCUAAAUGUGUCAAUUUCCAAGUAACCAUCUGUUGGCAACAAGUUUGGGACAUAAUUUUCUUUGCUAUUUUUAUCCAUUUGGAAACUUAGGGACCAUGAGUUUCAAUGUGAAGAGUAUUAAUUCCAGCUAAGAGUUUGUAAAUUGCCUUAUUUUACCAUCUCACUUUGAUUUUAAAGUAGUAACUAAGUUCCAGGAAGCACCUAAUCAGAACAUGUCUUGGGUUUAAGAUGUGUUUAUUUGGAAUACUUUAUUUUCCCUAUGCAUAAAAGAAAAAUAUUGCUGGAAUAGUUCUCCAACUAUUGUUUUUAGAUAAGAGCUGAAGCAGAAGCGCCAAGACUGGCAGUCGACUAACCCUUGAGGUAAUUAGGAUCAUGCUGUUAGUCACAUAAUAAUGUACUGCACAUGUGAAUGAGGUGCAGAGAUCUGCAAUGGUGACUCUGCUGACACAAGGAAAGGUUGUGUAUGGAGAGUAUGGCAGGUCCUGAGCUUCAUGCUUCAGGAGUGUUAGAACUAUAGUAUAUAGUUGUCUAAAUACAAUAUUUCUUGUGACAACCAAAAUAUGUUGUGGCUGGUGCCAAUAUUUUUGUUAAUGAAAUGUUGAAUGUCGCAUUACAGUCUGAUCAGAAUUCUCAGUGUAAUAAGCCAGGCCUAAGCCAUUUUAUAGCUAUUGGCCUAACUGUGUAACUUUUUUUUCAAAAUGUUUUAUUAUAAUACUUGUCAUUUCUUUUACUUAAUAUAUGUUGUCAUAAUAAAAAGUUUAAAUAAG
RNAcentral lists this long non-coding RNA (994 nucleotides) under Rattus norvegicus (Norway rat). RNAcentral describes it as "long non-coding RNA NONRATT000976". Lineage: Eukaryota; Metazoa; Chordata; Mammalia; Rodentia; Muridae. The record is from RNAcentral.